AGAGGGGGAUAACACUUGGAAACAGGUGCUAAUACCGCAUAACCAUAGUUACCGCAUGGUAGCUAUGUAAAAGGUGGCUAUGCUACCGCUUUUGGAUGGGCCCGCGGCGCAUUANCUAGUUGGUGGGGUAAAGGCUUACCAAGGCAAUGAUGCGUAGCCGAACUGAGAGGUUGAUCGGCCACNUUGGGACUGAGACACGGNCCAANNCNNACGGGAGGCAGCAGUAGGGAAUCUUCCACAAUGGGCGAAAGCCUGAUGGAGCAACGCCGCGUGGGUGAAGAAGGUCUUCGGAUCGUAAAACCCUGCUGUUAGAGAAGAAAGUGCGUGAGAGUAACUGUUCACGUUUCGACGGUAUCUAACCAGAAAGCCACGGCUAACUACGUGCCAGCAGCCGCGGUAAUACGUAGGUGGCAAGCGUUAUCCGGAUUUAUUGGGCGUAAAGGGAACGCAGGCGGUCUUUUAAGUCUGAUGUGAAAGCCUUCGGCUUAACCGGAGUAGUGCAUUGGAAACUGGGAGACUUGAGUGCAGAAGAGGAGAGUGGAACUCCAUGUGUAGCGGUGAAAUGCGUAGAUAUAUGGAA
RNAcentral lists this ribosomal RNA (580 nucleotides) under uncultured bacterium. RNAcentral's name for it is "bacterial SSU rRNA". It matches the Rfam family "Bacterial small subunit ribosomal RNA", at positions 135 to 703 of the family's 1533-position model. The record is from RNAcentral.